UCGGAUUAGCUAGUUGGUGGGGUAAAGGCUCACCAAGGCGACGAUCCGUAACUGGUCUGAGAGGAUGAUCAGUCACACUGGAACUGAGACACGGUCCAGACUCCUACGGGAGGCAGCAGUGGGGAAUAUUGGACAAUGGGCGAAAGCCUGAUCCAGCCAUGCCGCGUGUGUGAAGAAGGUCUUCGGAUUGUAAAGCACUUUAAGUUGGGAGGAAGGGUCGUUACCUAAUACGUGACGGUUUUGACGUUACCGACAGAAUAAGCACCGGCUAACUCUGUGCCAGCAGCCGCGGUAAUACAGAGGGUGCAAGCGUUAAUCGGAAUUACUGGGCGUAAAGCGCGCGUAGGUGGUUUGUCAAGUUGAAUGUGAAAUCCCCGGGCUCAACCUGGGAACUGCAUCCAAAACUGGCAAGCUA
Molecule: ribosomal RNA, 415 nt
Filed under: Pseudomonas sp. H3-14-l
Lineage: Bacteria; Pseudomonadati; Pseudomonadota; Gammaproteobacteria; Pseudomonadales; Pseudomonadaceae
Also listed under: 3 other names
Description: bacterial SSU rRNA
Rfam family: Bacterial small subunit ribosomal RNA
Source: RNAcentral